This 410-nucleotide ribosomal RNA is filed under the name uncultured bacterium. RNAcentral's name for it is "bacterial SSU rRNA". It matches the Rfam family "Bacterial small subunit ribosomal RNA", at positions 29 to 482 of the family's 1533-position model. The record is from RNAcentral.
AACGAACGCUGGCGGCAUGCCUAACACAUGCAAGUCGAACGAACCCUUCGGGGUUAGUGGCGCACGGGUGCGUAACACGUGGGAAUCUGCCCUUUGCUUCGGAAUAACAGUUAGAAAUGACUGCUAAUACCGGAUGAUGUCGUAAGACCAAAGAUUUAUCGGCAAAGGAUGAGCCCGCGUAGGAUUAGGUAGUUGGUGGGGUAAAAGGCCUACCAAGCCGACGAUCCUUAGCUGGUCUGAGAGGAUGAUCAGCCACACUGGGACUGAGACACGGCCCAGACUCCUACGGGAGGCAGCAGUGGGGAAUAUUGGACAAUGGGCGAAAGCCUGAUCCAGCAAUGCCGCGUGAGUGAUGAAGGCCUUCGGUUGUAAGACUCUUUUACCCUAGGGAUGAUAAUGACAGUACCUGG